RNAcentral lists this transfer-messenger RNA (393 nucleotides) under Eubacteriales. RNAcentral describes it as "RGIG2000 sp017625935 Standard tmRNA". It matches the Rfam family "transfer-messenger RNA". Rfam says of the family: Bacterial tmRNA, also known as 10Sa RNA or SsrA, is named for its dual tRNA and mRNA-like properties. Its role is to liberate the mRNA from a stalled ribosome. The record is from RNAcentral. Lineage: Bacteria; Bacillati; Bacillota; Clostridia. RNAcentral also lists the same sequence under 1 other name.
GGGACUGUAAAGGUUUCGACGGGGAUUGUGAGAUAUGAUAAGCGUGGAGGGCUGGCUAAUCCCUUAUAAUGGCUAAACUUAAAUAAUAAACGACAACAAUAAAGUUGCUAUGGCUGCCUAACUAAUUGCUCCUUUGGGAGCGAUUAGCGGCAGUGCUGUGGUCAAUGCACCACCCGUUCCUCUUGGGAGUACCUCGACCUAAGACUGAGCGUAACAUCAGAGGUGAACUUGAAUUGAGAGUUUUGUCUGUAUCAAUCAAGCAUUAAGACAAUACCCGAAUAAAAGCCUGUUAAUCGGCGUUUUGUAGGGGAAAUUCCAAUAGAUUAACUGCCCACGGAGAAAGUUAUGUCAAGUGAUUUUCGGACGCGAGUUCGACUCUCGCCAGUUCCACCA